GGGUUGUGAGGUUAAGCGACUAAGCGUACACGGUGGAUGCCCUGGCAGUCAGAGGCGAUGAAGGACGUGCUAAUCUGCGAUAAGCGUCGGUAAGGUGAUAUGAACCGUUAUAACCGGCGAUUUCCGAAUGGGGAAACCCAGUGUGUUUCGACACACUAUCAUUAACUGAAUCCAUAGGUUAAUGAGGCGAACCGGGGGAACUGAAACAUCUAAGUACCCCGAGGAAAAGAAAUCAACCGAGAUUCCCCCAGUAGCGGCGAGCGAACGGGGAGCAGCCCAGAGCCUGAAUCAGUGUGUGUGUUAGUGGAAGCGUCUGGAAAGGCGCGCGAUACAGGGUGACAGCCCCGUACACAAAAAUGCACAUGCUGUGAGCUCGAUGAGUAGGGCGGGACACGUGGUAUCCUGUCUGAAUAUGGGGGGACCAUCCUCCAAGGCUAAAUACUCCUGACUGACCGAUAGUGAACCAGUACCGUGAGGGAAAGGCGAAAAGAACCCCGGCGAGGGGAGUGAAAAAGAACCUGAAACCGUGUACGUACAAGCAGUGGGAGCACGCUUAGGCGUGUGACUGCGUACCUUUUGUAUAAUGGGUCAGCGACUUAUAUUCUGUAGCAAGGUUAACCGAAUAGGGGAGCCGAAGGGAAACCGAGUCUUAACUGGGCGUUAAGUUGCAGGGUAUAGACCCGAAACCCGGUGAUCUAGCCAUGGGCAGGUUGAAGGUUGGGUAACACUAACUGGAGGACCGAACCGACUAAUGUUGAAAAAUUAGCGGAUGACUUGUGGCUGGGGGUGAAAGGCCAAUCAAACCGGGAGAUAGCUGGUUCUCCCCGAAAGCUAUUUAGGUAGCGCCUCGUGAAUUCAUCUCCGGGGGUAGAGCACUGUUUCGGCAAGGGGGUCAUCCCGACUUACCAACCCGAUGCAAACUGCGAAUACCGGAGAAUGUUAUCACGGGAGACACACGGCGGGUGCUAACGUCCGUCGUGAAGAGGGAAACAACCCAGACCGCCAGCUAAGGUCCCAAAGUCAUGGUUAAGUGGGAAACGAUGUGGGAAGGCCCAGACAGCCAGGAUGUUGGCUUAGAAGCAGCCAUCAUUUAAAGAAAGCGUAAUAGCUCACUGGUCGAGUCGGCCUGCGCGGAAGAUGUAACGGGGCUAAACCAUGCACCGAAGCUGCGGCAGCGACGCUUAUGCGUUGUUGGGUAGGGGAGCGUUCUGUAAGCCUGUGAAGGUGUGCUGUGAGGCAUGCUGGAGGUAUCAGAAGUGCGAAUGCUGACAUAAGUAACGAUAAAGCGGGUGAAAAGCCCGCUCGCCGGAAGACCAAGGGUUCCUGUCCAACGUUAAUCGGGGCAGGGUGAGUCGACCCCUAAGGCGAGGCCGAAAGGCGUAGUCGAUGGGAAACAGGUUAAUAUUCCUGUACUUGGUGUUACUGCGAAGGGGGGACGGAGAAGGCUAUGUUGGCCGGGCGACGGUUGUCCCGGUUUAAGCGUGUAGGCUGGUUUUCCAGGCAAAUCCGGAAAAUCAAGGCUGAGGCGUGAUGACGAGGCACUACGGUGCUGAAGCAACAAAUGCCCUGCUUCCAGGAAAAGCCUCUAAGCAUCAGGUAACAUCAAAUCGUACCCCAAACCGACACAGGUGGUCAGGUAGAGAAUACCAAGGCGCUUGAGAGAACUCGGGUGAAGGAACUAGGCAAAAUGGUGCCGUAACUUCGGGAGAAGGCACGCUGAUAUGUAGGUGAAGUCCCUCGCGGAUGGAGCUGAAAUCAGUCGAAGAUACCAGCUGGCUGCAACUGUUUAUUAAAAACACAGCACUGUGCAAACACGAAAGUGGACGUAUACGGUGUGACGCCUGCCCGGUGCCGGAAGGUUAAUUGAUGGGGUCAGCGCAAGCGAAGCUCUUGAUCGAAGCCCCGGUAAACGGCGGCCGUAACUAUAACGGUCCUAAGGUAGCGAAAUUCCUUGUCGGGUAAGUUCCGACCUGCACGAAUGGCGUAAUGAUGGCCAGGCUGUCUCCACCCGAGACUCAGUGAAAUUGAACUCGCUGUGAAGAUGCAGUGUACCCGCGGCAAGACGGAAAGACCCCGUGAACCUUUACUAUAGCUUGACACUGAACAUUGAGCCUUGAUGUGUAGGAUAGGUGGGAGGCUUAGAAGUGUGGACGCCAGUCUGCAUGGAGCCGACCUUGAAAUACCACCCUUUAAUGUUUGAUGUUCUAACGUUGACCCGUAAUCCGGGUUGCGGACAGUGUCUGGUGGGUAGUUUGACUGGGGCGGUCUCCUCCUAAAGAGUAACGGAGGAGCACGAAGGUUGGCUAAUCCUGGUCGGACAUCAGGAGGUUAGUGCAAUGGCAUAAGCCAGCUUGACUGCGAGCGUGACGGCGCGAGCAGGUGCGAAAGCAGGUCAUAGUGAUCCGGUGGUUCUGAAUGGAAGGGCCAUCGCUCAACGGAUAAAAGGUACUCCGGGGAUAACAGGCUGAUACCGCCCAAGAGUUCAUAUCGACGGCGGUGUUUGGCACCUCGAUGUCGGCUCAUCACAUCCUGGGGCUGAAGUAGGUCCCAAGGGUAUGGCUGUUCGCCAUUUAAAGUGGUACGCGAGCUGGGUUUAGAACGUCGUGAGACAGUUCGGUCCCUAUCUGCCGUGGGCGCUGGAGAACUGAGGGGGGCUGCUCCUAGUACGAGAGGACCGGAGUGGACGCAUCACUGGUGUUCGGGUUGUCAUGCCAAUGGCACUGCCCGGUAGCUAAAUGCGGAAGAGAUAAGUGCUGAAAGCAUCUAAGCACGAAACUUGCCCCGAGAUGAGUUCUCCCUGACUCCUUGAGAGUCCUGAAGGAACGUUGAAGACGACGACGUUGAUAGGCCGGGUGUGUAAGCGCAGCGAUGCGUUGAGCUAACCGGUACUAAUGAACCGUGAGGCUUAACCUUACAACGCCGAAGCUGUU
Molecule: ribosomal RNA, 2930 nt
Filed under: Escherichia coli
Lineage: Bacteria; Pseudomonadati; Pseudomonadota; Gammaproteobacteria; Enterobacterales; Enterobacteriaceae
Description: bacterial LSU rRNA
Rfam family: Bacterial large subunit ribosomal RNA
Source: RNAcentral